Molecule: ribosomal RNA, 899 nt
Filed under: Silusida marginella
Lineage: Eukaryota; Metazoa; Arthropoda; Insecta; Coleoptera; Staphylinidae
Description: SSU rRNA
Rfam family: Eukaryotic small subunit ribosomal RNA
Source: RNAcentral
AGGUAGUGACGAAAAAUAACGAUACGGGACUCAUCCGAGGCCCCGUAAUCGGAAUGAGUACACUCUAAACCCUUUAACAAAAAUCAAUUGGAGGGCAAGUCUGGUGCCAGCCGCCGCGGUAAUUCCAGCUCCAAUAGCGUAUAUUAAAGUUGUUGCGGUUAAAAAGCUCGUAGUCGAACUUGUGUCCCGCGCCGCUGGUUCAUCGCUCGCGGUGCCAACUGGCGUGUUCGCGGGACGUCCUGCCGGUGGGCUCAUCGAAUUGAUCGUUUCGGCGGUCGUUCGUGGCCCAACUCGUAUCCGUCUCGUGCGGGUGCGAAUCCCAUCGCGGUGCUCUUUAUUGAGUGUCGAGGUGGGCCGGCACGUUUACUUUGAACAAAUUAGAGUGCUUAAAGCAGGCCAAUUUUGCCUGAAUAUUGUGUGCAUGGAAUAAUGGAAUAGGACCUCGGUUCUAUUUUGUUGGUUUUCGGAACCCCGAGGUAAUGAUUAAUAGGAACGGAUGGGGGCAUUCGUAUUGCGACGUUAGAGGUGAAAUUCUUGGAUCGUCGCAAGACGGACAGAAGCGAAAGCAUUUGCCAAAAACGUUUUCAUUGAUCAAGAACGAAAGUUAGAGGUUCGAAGGCGAUCAGAUACCGCCCUAGUUCUAACCAUAAACGAUGCCAGCUAGCGAUCCGCCGACGUUCCUCCGAUGACUCGGCGGGCAGCUUCCGGGAAACCAAAGCUUUUGGGUUCCGGGGGAAGUAUGGUUGCAAAGCUGAAACUUAAAGGAAUUGACGGAAGGGCACCACCAGGAGUGGAGCCUGCGGCUUAAUUUGACUCAACACGGGAAAGCUUAUCAGGCCCAGACACCGGAAGGAUUGACAGAUUGAGAGCUCUUUCUUAAUUCGGUGGGUGGUGGUGCA